RNAcentral lists this ribosomal RNA (468 nucleotides) under uncultured bacterium. Its description in RNAcentral is "partial 16S ribosomal RNA". It matches the Rfam family "Bacterial small subunit ribosomal RNA", at positions 28 to 507 of the family's 1533-position model. The record is from RNAcentral.
GACGAACGCUGGCGGCGUGCUUAACACAUGCAAGUCGAACGGAAAGGCCCUGCUUUUGUGGGGUGCUCGAGUGGCGAACGGGUGAGUAACACGUGAGUAACCUGCCCUUGACUUUGGGAUAACUUCAGGAAACUGGGGCUAAUACCGGAUAGGAGCUCCUGCUGCAUGGUGGGGGUUGGAAAGUUUCGGCGGUUGGGGAUGGACUCGCGGCUUAUCAGCUUGUUGGUGGGGUAGUGGCUUACCAAGGCUUUGACGGGUAGCCGGCCUGAGAGGGUGACCGGCCACAUUGGGACUGAGAUACGGCCGAGACUCCUACGGGAGGCAGCAGUGGGGAAUAUUGCACGAUGGGCGGAAGCCUGAUGCAGCAACGCCGCGUGCGGGAUGACGGCCUUCGGGUUGUAAACCGCUUUCGCCUGUGACGAAGCGUGAGUGACGGUAAUGGGUAAAGAAGCACCAGCUAACUACGUG